GAUGAACGCUGGCGGCGUGCUUAACACAUGCAAGUCGAACGGAAAGGCCCAAGCUUGCUUGGGUACUCGAGUGGCGAACGGGUGAGUAACACGUGGGUGAUCUGCCCUGCACUUCGGGAUAAGCCUGGGAAACUGGGUCUAAUACCGGAUAGGACCACAUUUUGGAUGGUGUGGUGGAAAGUUUUUCGGUGUGGGAUGAGCUCGCGGCCUAUCAGCUUGUUGGUGGGGUAAUGGCCUACCAAGGCGUCGACGGGUAGCCGGCCUGAGAGGGUGUACGGCCACAUUGGGACUGAGAUACGGCCCAGACUCCUACGGGAGGCAGCAGGGGGGAAUGUUGCACACUGGGCGCAAGCCUGAGGCAGCGACGCCGCGUGGGGGAUGACGGCCUUCGGGUUGUAAACUCCUUUCGCUAGGGACGAAGCGUUUUUGUGACGGUACCUGGAGAAGAAGCACCGGCUAACUACGUG
RNAcentral lists this ribosomal RNA (467 nucleotides) under uncultured bacterium. RNAcentral's name for it is "partial 16S ribosomal RNA". It matches the Rfam family "Bacterial small subunit ribosomal RNA", at positions 28 to 507 of the family's 1533-position model. The record is from RNAcentral.